This 793-nucleotide long non-coding RNA is filed under the name Dasypus novemcinctus (nine-banded armadillo). RNAcentral's name for it is "lncRNA (ENSDNOG00000050569.1)". The record is from RNAcentral. Lineage: Eukaryota; Metazoa; Chordata; Mammalia; Cingulata; Dasypodidae.
AAAACCCGGUUGGUGGACACCUACAAAGGACCUGCUAGCCAUACACGACUGUCCCUCAGCAACAGGCCAGUUCAAGGGACUCCAGAACUUGAGGUGGAUCACCGAAAAGGGGAUACACCCCUCUGCCCGAGUCCCCCAUUGGAGACGCUGCGGGUCCCUGACUCUGUCGCUAGCAGGAGAGCCAGGAGGGUCCCGAGGUGUGUCUGCAGCCUGGGCCGCCCGCACUUUCUGAGCAACACCGUCCACGCGCCUUUCCAGGGCUAGAGUGCCUUGACUCAGGGGCGACCCCUCCUCCCACAGGUGAGGGUGGGCACGCAUGGAGGAGCAGGACAGAGACUGAUGUGUCCAAAAUGUUAUUAUAGCCACCCCUUCCCCCAAACGACCAGAGGAGCAAAGGUGUCAGCGCUGAGAAGGCUUCUAGAAACAAGAAGAGCUAAAUGGUUUGACAACUGCCCAGGACCUGCAGGUCUGGCCGCUCCAUUCUGAAGUUGCGGGAGAAGUUUCCCGUCAGGAGAGACACUCUCAGAAGAUAUCCUGCCUGCUUUCUGCUCAGAUUCCCUUGAGAAGCCUGGCCAUGUCCCACUGCCAAGUUCUAAGGGGGACGCAACCCUCACCUGCUCAGGUAAGCAUUUUGCCACUGGUUGUUCCACAAACUCUUCAGCAUGUGAGACAGCACACAAAAAUAAUCUGCAGGGCUUCUGUUUUGAUGAGAUAACUAGUAAGAUCUCAUCUAUAUUUCAAUAAAUAUUUGGAGAAAAUGUCCAUGGGAAAUUUAAGUUGUUAAAUAAAUAAA